Molecule: ribosomal RNA, 599 nt
Filed under: Aspergillus oryzae
Lineage: Eukaryota; Fungi; Ascomycota; Eurotiomycetes; Eurotiales; Aspergillaceae
Description: eukaryotic LSU rRNA
Rfam family: 5.8S ribosomal RNA (bases 215-368)
Source: RNAcentral
CUUCCGUAGGUGAACCUGCGGAAGGAUCAUUACCGAGUGUAGGGUUCCUAGCGAGCCCAACCUCCCACCCGUGUUUACUGUACCUUAGUUGCUUCGGCGGGCCCGCCAUUCAUGGCCGCCGGGGGCUCUCAGCCCCGGGCCCGCGCCCGCCGGAGACACCACGAACUCUGUCUGAUCUAGUGAAGUCUGAGUUGAUUGUAUCGCAAUCAGUUAAAACUUUCAACAAUGGAUCUCUUGGUUCCGGCAUCGAUGAAGAACGCAGCGAAAUGCGAUAACUAGUGUGAAUUGCAGAAUUCCGUGAAUCAUCGAGUCUUUGAACGCACAUUGCGCCCCCUGGUAUUCCGGGGGGCAUGCCUGUCCGAGCGUCAUUGCUGCCCAUCAAGCACGGCUUGUGUGUUGGGUCGUCGUCCCCUCUCCGGGGGGGACGGGCCCCAAAGGCAGCGGCGGCACCGCGUCCGAUCCUCGAGCGUAUGGGGCUUUGUCACCCGCUCUGUAGGCCCGGCCGGCGCUUGCCGAACGCAAAUCAAUCUUUUUCCAGGUUGACCUCGGAUCAGGUAGGGAUACCCGCUGAACUUAAGCAUAUCAAUAAGCGGAGGAAA